GCGCCCAUGGCGGAAUCGGUAGACGCCGGGGACUUAAAAUCCCCUGACCUCGGUCGUGCCGGUUCGAGUCCGGCUGGGCGCACCA
RNAcentral lists this transfer RNA (85 nucleotides) under bacterium. RNAcentral's name for it is "tRNA-Leu". It matches the Rfam family "tRNA". From Rfam's summary of the family: Transfer RNA (tRNA) molecules are approximately 80 nucleotides in length. Their secondary structure includes four short double-helical elements and three loops (D, anti-codon, and T loops). Further hydrogen bonds mediate the characteristic L-shaped molecular structure. tRNAs have two regions of fundamental functional importance: the anti-codon, which is responsible for specific mRNA codon recognition, and the 3' end, to which the tRNAs corresponding amino acid is attached (by aminoacyl-tRNA synthetases). tRNAs cope with the degeneracy of the genetic code in two manners: having more than one tRNA (with a specific anti-codon) for a particular amino acid; and 'wobble' base-pairing, i.e. permitting non-standard base-pairing at the 3rd anti-codon position. RNAcentral also lists the same sequence under 2 other names. The record is from RNAcentral.